This 408-nucleotide ribosomal RNA is filed under the name uncultured bacterium. Its description in RNAcentral is "bacterial SSU rRNA". It matches the Rfam family "Bacterial small subunit ribosomal RNA", at positions 28 to 417 of the family's 1533-position model. The record is from RNAcentral.
GACGAACGCUGGCGGCGUGCUUAACACAUGCAAGUCGAGCGGUAAGGCCCUUUCGGGGUACGACGAGCGGCGAACGGGUAGAGUAACAACGUGGGUGGACCUCGCCCUCCAGUUCUUGGGAGUAAAGACCUCGGGAAACCGGGGUACCGUAAUAACUGGAUAUGACCUCCAUGACGCAUGUUGUGGGGUGGGAAAGACCUUGUGCGACUGAGGAUGGGCCCGGCCGGCCUAUCAGCUUGUUGGUGGGGUGAUGGCCUACCAAGGCGACGACGGGUAGCCGGCCUGAGAGGGCGACCGGCCACACUGGGACUGAGACACGGCCCAGACUCCUACGGGAGGCAGCAGUGGGGAAUCUUGCGCAAUGGGCGAAAGCCUGACGCAGCGACGCCGCGUGAGGGAUGACGGCCU